GCGCCUUGGUUCUUCCUCGCAGAAUGGAACGGAAGAAAGAGGGGGAAACGAAACCUGUUCUGCUCUCUUCUUUCAGCGAGAUCGAAGAAGGUGGGAGAUCUACUCUGUUUCUCUUGAACAGAGGAGGGGUCUCCCUCUUCCUCUUCUAAUCGGGAAAAAAGGAGCCCGAACAGAGGAGAUCUGCUCUUCCAGCGAGAUCUGAGAAGGAAGAAGAGAGGUUCUCUGCACCGCCCCCUUUCACCUGCUUCUCAUCGGGGAAAAGGGGCUCGGAGGCUGAUUCCUUCCAGCGGAGGUGAGGGACGCUCUGCUCUUUCAAGAUCGAGAUCGGUUCUUGAAACUGAAACGGGAACAGAGUGGGAGAAUUCUGUUCUUCGCAGAAAGGAACAGAACAGAGGAAAAUUUUCAGUUCUUCUUU
RNAcentral lists this long non-coding RNA (415 nucleotides) under Musa acuminata (dwarf banana). Its description in RNAcentral is "long non-coding RNA (MACU_LNC010021)". The record is from RNAcentral. Lineage: Eukaryota; Viridiplantae; Streptophyta; Magnoliopsida; Zingiberales; Musaceae.